RNAcentral lists this transfer RNA (75 nucleotides) under Burkholderiaceae bacterium. Its description in RNAcentral is "tRNA-Asn". It matches the Rfam family "tRNA". From Rfam's summary of the family: Transfer RNA (tRNA) molecules are approximately 80 nucleotides in length. Their secondary structure includes four short double-helical elements and three loops (D, anti-codon, and T loops). Further hydrogen bonds mediate the characteristic L-shaped molecular structure. tRNAs have two regions of fundamental functional importance: the anti-codon, which is responsible for specific mRNA codon recognition, and the 3' end, to which the tRNAs corresponding amino acid is attached (by aminoacyl-tRNA synthetases). tRNAs cope with the degeneracy of the genetic code in two manners: having more than one tRNA (with a specific anti-codon) for a particular amino acid; and 'wobble' base-pairing, i.e. permitting non-standard base-pairing at the 3rd anti-codon position. The record is from RNAcentral. Lineage: Bacteria; Pseudomonadati; Pseudomonadota; Betaproteobacteria; Burkholderiales; Burkholderiaceae.
UCCUCACUAGCUCAACGGCAGAGCAACGAGCUGUUAACUCGUGGGUUCCUAGUUCGAAUCUAGGGUGGGGAGCGA